This 205-nucleotide long non-coding RNA is filed under the name Lathyrus oleraceus (garden pea). RNAcentral's name for it is "Pisum sativum (pea) long non-coding RNA (PSAT_LNC041881)". Lineage: Eukaryota; Viridiplantae; Streptophyta; Magnoliopsida; Fabales; Fabaceae. The record is from RNAcentral.
GUAAAAACAUGUUCAUGCAUCAACUUUCAACUCAGCAUAACUUUCAAGAUACUUAACCAUUUGCAUCGAUUCAAAGCUCAACAUGUACAUGGUGAAAAGAUCUAUAAGAUGUAUUACAUGAUUUCGCGAAUGGUUAAAUGCGAAUUUUACCUGUUCUUGCAAGGCAGCAGUGACUCAGUGGUUUUCUGGCAGUGGUGGAUCAAAA